RNAcentral lists this ribosomal RNA (253 nucleotides) under uncultured bacterium. Its description in RNAcentral is "partial 16S ribosomal RNA". It matches the Rfam family "Bacterial small subunit ribosomal RNA", at positions 524 to 776 of the family's 1533-position model. The record is from RNAcentral.
UACAGAGGUGGCAAGCGUUGUUCGGAAUUACUGGGCGUAAAGGGCGCGUAGGCGGCCUUCUAAGUCAGACGUGAAAUCCCCCGGCUUAACCUGGGAACUGCGUCUGAUACUGGGAAGCUUGAGUAUGGGAGAGGGAUGUAGAAUUCCAGGUGUAGCGGUGAAAUGCGUAGAUAUCUGGAGGAAUACCGGUGGCGAAGGCGGCAUCCUGGACCAUAACUGACGCUGAGGCGCGAAAGCUAGGGGAGCAAACGGG